Molecule: ribosomal RNA, 742 nt
Filed under: uncultured cyanobacterium
Lineage: Bacteria; Bacillati; Cyanobacteriota
Description: bacterial SSU rRNA
Rfam family: Bacterial small subunit ribosomal RNA
Source: RNAcentral
AGAGUUUGAUCCUGGCUCAGGAUGAACGCUGGCGGCGUGCUUAACACAUGCAAGUCGAACGAGAUCUUCGGAUCUAGUGGCGGACGGGUGAGUAACACGUGGGAAUCUGCCCUCAGGAGGGGGAUAACGGUCGGAAACGACCGCUAAUACCCCAUAUGCCGAAAGGUGAAAGAAUUUCGCCUGAGGAUGAGCCCGCGUCUGAUUAGCUUGUUGGUGGGGUAAUGGCCUACCAAGGCGACGAUCAGUAGCUGGUCUGAGAGGAUGAUCAGCCACACUGGGACUGAGACACGGCCCAGACUCCUACGGGAGGCAGCAGUGGGGAAUUUUCCGCAAUGGGCGAAAGCCUGACGGAGCAACGCCGCGUGGGUGAUGAAGGCCCUUGGGUCGUAAAACCCUUUUGUCGGGGACGAUAAUGACGGUACCCGAUGAAUAAGCAUCGGCUAACUCUGUGCCAGCAGCCGCGGUAAUACAGAGGAUGCAAGCGUUAUCCGGAAUUAUUGGGCGUAAAGCGUACGUAGGCGGCUAUUCAAGUCUGGGGUUAAAGCCCGCAGCUCAACUGCGGAAAGGCCUCGGAAACUGGAUGGCUAGAGUGCGGUAGAGGCAAGGGGAAUUCCCGGUGUAGCGGUGAAAUGUGGAGAUAUCGGGAAGAACACCAGCGGCGAAAGCGCCUUGCUGGACCGCAACUGACGCUGAGGUACGAAAGCCAGGGGAGCAAAUGGGAUUAGAUACCCCAGUAGUCCUG